AUGUCCAACAUCCUUAACCUCAAGAAUCGAUGUUGGCCCUCAAACCAGUUAGCAAGGAGGGGUUUGCCGCACCAGGACGUGUGCCCGUUUUGUGAUCAGGAAGAGGAAACGAUAAGCCACAUUUUGCUCACGUGCGUGUUCGCCAGGAUGGCAUGGAUGAUGGUGGAAGAGGCUCUUGGCAGGACGGGUUGGACGCCGAGCCAGGAGGACAUGCUUGGGGACUGGCUAUGCAGUAGAAAUGCGGAUAAUUCCACUAGCAUCAAGGACUUACGUACAGUGUUGCUACUUGUAAUAUGGGAGCUUUGGAAGCAUCACAAUGCCAUUGUCUUUGACGGUGAUUCCCCAUCGAUUGACAGGCUUGUCCAAAAGGUGAAGUCCGAGGCCAAGGUGUGGGCUACGGCAGGGCUAAUCAAGAGGGAGCUAGAGGGUUUCCGAGGUAGAUUGUAUAGGUGGGCUGUGAGAGGAGUAGGGUACUUGCUUGUAAGAGCAUCUCCAGCCGUUGGCCCCCUAGGCGGUUUGAAAAAUAGCCACCUGGGGGCGAACCGGCACAAAAAAUUGGCCUGGGGGCGAUCUGGUUCCUAG
This 582-nucleotide ribosomal RNA is filed under the name Triticum aestivum (bread wheat). RNAcentral describes it as "partial small subunit ribosomal RNA". The record is from RNAcentral. Lineage: Eukaryota; Viridiplantae; Streptophyta; Magnoliopsida; Poales; Poaceae.